Long non-coding RNA from Bos taurus (domestic cattle), 854 nucleotides. The record is from Ensembl. NCBI's taxonomy places the organism in Eukaryota, Metazoa, Chordata, Mammalia, Artiodactyla, Bovidae.
GGGAAACAAACAAACCAAGCAGCCAGAUGUAUGUGCAAGAGAAUCCAGCUGAAGGAACACAGAAGUCAGGCUGUGUUGGCAAUUUGGAGGAAGGCCAGAUUACUCUGGAAAGACUUUCUGGAAAGAAGGACUGAAUGUUCAAAACAGAUUAGCACCCUGACAGACUGAGAAUGAGUUUGAAGAUCUCUGUGGCCAGAGACUAUAAGGAUUAUAUUAUCCCUUGCUUUUCUCUGUAAAGCAAGAGCCCAGAUGCGCUGAGUUCCAGGGGUGAGCUGGCCAGGCACAUGGCCCAGCCUCAACUCUAUUUUUACUUCACAGAAAGAGGUGGGUGUUUUACCACUGUACCGCCUGGAAGACCCGUAGUAGCUUCGGUGCUUUUCCUCAGAUGUUUCUUUCAAGGAUCCCUGAAUAUAAAAGGUCCAUAAAUUUGAGGUCAACAUACAUGUGAGGAUUGUGGGAGCAGAAAUUAACUCUAGAAGGCACUCAGACUGAUACUGGACCCCAAAACACUAGAGAUCAUUUGGAGGGGCUCUUUGUGAGAGUACAGAAGGUUUGUGUUACUCAAGAAAAAUUUAAUCCUGAGAAAAAGCCAUUAAAGUCAAUCUAUCACAACAGGUACUGUCAUAGCAAAUAAUUUAAAGUUUGUUUGCAACCUUAUCUUGAAAUCUGAUAGGAAAAUAAGAAGUCUGUUUUAAACUUAACAAAUUGAGUUAUAAUUGCAAAUGCACACUAAAUUCUUUUGUUUUCUUUUCUUCUUUUUUUUUUUUUUUUGCCACACCACACAGUUUGUGGGAUCUCAGUUCCCCCAGUAGAAGCCCAGAAUCCUAACCACUGUGCCACCAGGGAACUCCCUA